Molecule: ribosomal RNA, 754 nt
Filed under: uncultured bacterium
Lineage: Bacteria
Description: bacterial SSU rRNA
Rfam family: Bacterial small subunit ribosomal RNA
Source: RNAcentral
GAUGAACGCUAGCGGCUGGCUUAACACAUGCAAGUCGAGGGGCAGCGCGGAGUAGCAAUACUCUGGCGGCGACCGGCGGAAGGGUGCGUAACACGUGAGCGACUUGCCCGUCACAGGGAGAUAACCGCUGGAAACGGCGACUAAUAUCCCAUACGAUGGCGAUCUGCAUGGAUUGUCAUUGAAAGAUUCAUCGGUGACGGAUAGGCUCGCGGGGCAUUAGCUAGACGGCGGGGCAACGGCCCACCGUGGCGACGAUGCCUAGGGGUUCUGAGAGGAAGACCCCCCACACUGGGACUGAGACACGGCCCAGACUCCUACGGGAGGCAGCAGUGAGGAAUAUUGGUCAAUGGGCGGAAGCCUGAACCAGCCAUGCCGCGUGAAGGACUAAGGCCCUAUGGGUCGUAAACUUCUUUAGACGCAGAGCAAUAAGGGUCUCGUGAGAUCCGAUGAGAGUAUGCGUAGAAUAAGCAUCGGCUAACUCCGUGCCAGCAGCCGCGGUAAUACGGGGGAUGCGAGCGUUAUCCGGAUUUAUUGGGUUUAAAGGGUGCGUAGGCGGAAGUGCAAGUCAGCGGUGAAAUCCCCGCGCUCAACGCGGGAGUUGCCGUUGAUACUGUACAUCUGGAAUGCUCUUGCCGUGNGAGGAAUGAGUAGUGUAGCGGUGAAAUGCAUAGAUAUUACUCAGAACACCGAUUGCGAAGGCAUCUCACGAAGGGGCGAUUGACGCUGAGGCACGAAAGCGUGGGUAUCGAACAGG